This 193-nucleotide ribosomal RNA is filed under the name uncultured bacterium. RNAcentral's name for it is "partial 16S ribosomal RNA". It matches the Rfam family "Bacterial small subunit ribosomal RNA", at positions 340 to 524 of the family's 1533-position model. The record is from RNAcentral.
UACGGGAGGCAGCAGUGAGGAAUAUUGGGCAAUGGGCGCAAGCCUGACCCAGCCACGCCGCGUGUGUGAUGAAGGCCUUCGGGUCGUAAAGCACUGUGGGGAGAGACGAACAAUUUCCGUCCUAAUACGGCGGAGACCUGACGGUACCUCCUUAGCAAGCACCGGCUAACUCUGUGCCAGCAGCCGCGGUAAU